AAAUUUUAUCUGCAUUUGUGGUUUUGUAAUUUACUGGGAAUCAUGUGUGUAAUAGUUGAAGGCUGUUUCAUCCAUUUUCUGGUAUGGAGGAUUGGCAUAGAAACUUCGCAGUGAUCCUGUUAAGAUUCAAUUUCUUCGCAGCAUGUUUUUCAGAUUCCGCUACCAAAUUCAUCUGGCACUGAUGCUGAUGCAAUGAUGGGCCAUGGUUAGCUGGGAAAAGAAAAAAAUUCUAUUGGCUUGGAAUACAGCGGCGAAUAUAACGGAGCAAUUGAGGAUGGAACAACGAGCCGAAAGGGGAAAACAAACGAACAAGAAAAAAAAAAAAAAAAAAAAAGUGAUG
This is a long non-coding RNA of Daphnia carinata, 340 nucleotides long. RefSeq lists it as uncharacterized. The transcript is spliced from 4 exons. The record is from RefSeq and is a predicted model, not a curated record. Lineage: Eukaryota; Metazoa; Arthropoda; Branchiopoda; Diplostraca; Daphniidae.